RNAcentral lists this ribosomal RNA (684 nucleotides) under uncultured Nitrososphaerota archaeon. RNAcentral describes it as "bacterial SSU rRNA". It matches the Rfam family "Archaeal small subunit ribosomal RNA", at positions 71 to 758 of the family's 1478-position model. The record is from RNAcentral. Lineage: Archaea; Thermoproteati; Nitrososphaerota.
GCAAUGCGUGGCAUACGGCUCAGUAACACGUAGUCAACAUGCCCAGGGGACGUGGAUAACCUCGGGAAACUGAGGAUAAACCGCGAUAGGCCAAGGUUUCUGGAAUGGACACUGGCUGAAACCUAUAUGGCCCCUGGAUUGGACUGCGGCCGAUCAGGCUGUUGGUGAGGUAAUGGCCCACCAAACCUGUAACCGGUACGGGCUUUGAGAGAAGGAGCCCGGAGAUGGGCACUGAGACAAGGGCCCAGGCCCUAUGGGGCGCAGCAGGCGCGAAAAUUCUGCAAUAGGCGAAAGCUUGACAGAGUUACUCUGAGUGAUGCCCGCUAAGGGCAUCUUUUGGCACCUCUAAAAAUGGUGCAGAAUAAGGGGUGGGCAAGUCUGGUGUCAGCCGCCGCGGUAAUACCAGCACCCCGAGUGGUCGGGACGAUUAUUGGGCCUAAAGCAUCCGUAGCUUGUUCUGCAAGUCUUCCGUUAAAUCCACCUGCUCAACAGAUGGGCUGCGGGAGAUACUGCAGGGCUAGGAGGCGGGAGAGGCAAGCGGUACUCAGUGGGUAGGGGUAAAAUCCUCUGAUCCACUGAAGACCACCAGUGGCGAAGGCGGCUUGCCAGAACGCGCUCGACGGUGAGGGAUGAAAGCUGGGGGAGCAAACCGGAUUAGAUACCCGGGUAGUCCCAGCUGUAAAC